Unclassified non-coding RNA from Laticauda laticaudata (blue-ringed sea krait), 299 nucleotides. It matches the Rfam family "Metazoan signal recognition particle RNA". Rfam says of the family: The signal recognition particle (SRP) is a universally conserved ribonucleoprotein. It is involved in the co-translational targeting of proteins to membranes. Lineage: Eukaryota; Metazoa; Chordata; Lepidosauria; Squamata; Elapidae. The record is from Ensembl.
GCCGGGCGCGGUGGCGCGAGCCUGUAAUCCAGCUACUCCGGAGGCUGAGGCUGGCGGAUCGCUUGAGCUCAGGAGUUCUGGGCUGCAGUGGGCUAUGCCGAUCGGGUGUCCGCACUAAGUUCGGCAUCAAUAUGGUGAUCCCCGGGGAGCCGAGGGCCACCAGGUUGCCUAAGGAGGGGUGAACCGGCCCAGGUCGGAGACGGAGCAGGUCAAAACUCCCGUGCCGAUCAGUAGUGGGAUAGCGCCUGUGAAUAGCCGCUGCAGCGUAGCCUGAGCAAGACAGCGAGACCCAGACUCUU